This 385-nucleotide ribosomal RNA is filed under the name uncultured bacterium. RNAcentral's name for it is "bacterial SSU rRNA". It matches the Rfam family "Bacterial small subunit ribosomal RNA", at positions 355 to 757 of the family's 1533-position model. The record is from RNAcentral.
UGGGGAAUAUUGCACAAUGGGCGAAAGCCUGAUGCAGCAACGCCGCGUGAGUGAUGAAGGCCUUCGGGUUGUAAAGCUCUGUCUUCUGGGACGAUAAUGACGGUACCAGAGGAGGAAGCCACGGCUAACUACGUGCCAGCAGCCGCGGUAAUACGUAGGUGGCAAGCGUUGGCCGGAUUUACUGGGCGUAAAGGAUGCGUAGGCGGAUACUUAAGUCAGAUGUGAAAAUCCCGGGCUUAACUUGGGAACUGCAUUUGAAACUGGGUAUCUAGAGUGCGGGAGAGGAAAGUGGAAUUCCUAGUGUAGCGGUGAAAUGCGUAGAGAUUAGGAAGAACACCAGUGGCGAAGGCGACUUUCUGGACCGUAACUGACGCUGAGGCAUGAA